UACGAACCGUGCGAACGUUGUUCGGAAUCACUGGGCUUAAAGGGCGCGUAGGCGGACAAUCAAGUCAGGGGUGAAAUCCCACGGCUCAACCGUGGAAGUGCCUUUGAUACUGACUGUCUCGAGGGAGGUAGGGGCGUGCGGAACUUCCGGUGGAGCGGUGAAAUGCGUAGAUAUCGGAAGGAACGCCGGUGGCGAAGGCGGCGCGCUGGACCUCUUCUGACGCUGAGGCGCGAAAGCUAGGGGAGCAAACGGG
Molecule: ribosomal RNA, 253 nt
Filed under: uncultured bacterium
Lineage: Bacteria
Description: partial 16S ribosomal RNA
Rfam family: Bacterial small subunit ribosomal RNA
Source: RNAcentral